RNAcentral lists this ribosomal RNA (1361 nucleotides) under metagenome. RNAcentral describes it as "SSU rRNA". It matches the Rfam family "Eukaryotic small subunit ribosomal RNA", at positions 1 to 1420 of the family's 1831-position model. The record is from RNAcentral.
UCUGGUUGAUCCUGCCAGUAGUCAUAUGCUUGUCUCAAAGAUUAAGCCAUGCAUGUCUAAGUAUAAAUAGUAUACAGUGAAACUGCGAAUGGCUCAUUAAAACAGUUAUAGUUUAUUUGAUAAUUGACAAUUACAUGGAUAACCGUGGUAAUUCUAGAGCUAAUACAUGCUUAAACGCCCGACUUUAUGGAAGGGUGGUAUUUAUUAGACUGAAGCCAAUAUUCCUUGUGUCUAUUGCGGUGAUUCAUAAUAACUGAUCGAAUCUCUUUUUGAGAUAAAUCAUUCAAGUUUCUGCCCUAUCAGCUUUCGAUGGUAGUGUAUUGGACUACCAUGGCAGUAACGGGUAACGAAGAAUUAGGGUUCGAUUUCGGAGAGGGAGCAUGAGAAACGGCUACCACAUCUAAGGAAGGCAGCAGGCGCGUAAAUUACCCAAUCCUGACUCAGGGAGGUAGUGACAAGAAAUAGCAAACCGGGAACCUCAUGGUUUCACGGUAUUGCAAUGAGAACAAUUUAAAACCCCAAGCGAGAAUCAAGUGGAGGACAAGUCUGGUGCCAGCACCCGCGGUAAUUCCAGCUCCACUAGCGUAUAUUAAAGUUGUUGCAGUUAAAAAGCUCGUAGUUGAACCUCUGUCUGGGGCUAGUUUUGGCUUUGGUCAGGCUAGUUCUAGGCAUCCGCCUACAAGACUUAGAGGGCAUUCAGUUGUUCACUAGGAGGAGUAGGCAUUUUACUUUGAAAAAAUUAGAGUGUUUAAGGCAGGCAAUCGCCCGCAUAUAUUAGCAUGGAAUAAUAGAAUAGGACACUUUUCCAUUUCGUUGGUUAUUGGAAUCGUGUAAUGAUUAGUAGGGACAGUUGUGGGCAUUUGUAUUUAAUUGUCAGAGGUGAAAUUCUUGGAUUUAUUAAAGACAAACUAACGCGAAAGCAUUUGCCAAGGAUGUUUUCAUUAAUCAAGAACGAAAGUUAGGGGAUCAAAGACGAUCAGAUACCGUCCUAGUCUUAACUAUAAACUAUUCCGACUCAAUGUUUGACUGGCUUAUAUAACCAGUUGAGCGUUGUAUGAGAAAUCAAAGUCUUUAGGUUCUGGGGGGAGUAUGGUUGCAAAGCUGAAACUUAAAGGAAUUGACGGAAGAGCACAACCAGGAGUGGAUUCUGCGGCUUAAUUUGACUCAACACGGGGAAACUUACCAGGUUAAAACAAUAGUGGGAUUGACAGUUUGAGAGCGCUUUCUUGAUUGGUUGGGUGGUGGUGCAUGGCCGUUCUUAGUUGGUGGAGUGAUUUGUCUGCUUAAUUGCGUUAACGAACGAGACCUUAACCUGCUUACUAGACUGGCGAUCAUCAAUCGUUAGCUCUUCUUAGAGGGAC